UACGUAGGGGGCAAGCGUUGUCCGGAUUUACUGGGCGUAAAGAGCGUGUAGGCGGCCACGCAGGUCCGUUGUGAAAACUGGAGGCUCAACUUCCAGACGUCGACGGAAACCGCGUGGCUAGAGUCCGGAAGAGGAGAGUGGAAUUCCUGGUGUAGCGGUGAAAUGCGCAGAUAUCAGGAAGAACACCAAUGGCGAAGGCAGCUCUCUGGGACGGUACUGACGCUGAGACGCGAAAGCGUGGGGAGCGAACAGG
Molecule: ribosomal RNA, 253 nt
Filed under: uncultured bacterium
Lineage: Bacteria
Description: partial 16S ribosomal RNA
Rfam family: Bacterial small subunit ribosomal RNA
Source: RNAcentral